UACGGGGGGAGCAAGCGUUGUUCGGAUUUACUGGGCGUAAAGGGCGCGUAGGCGGCCAGCACAAGUCAGUUGUGAAAUCUCCGAGCUUAACUCGGAAAGGUCAACUGAUACUGUGCGGCUAGAGUGCAGAAGGGGCAACUGGAAUUCUUGGUGUAGCGGUGAAAUGCGCAGAUAUCAGGAGGAACACCGAUGGCGAAGGCAGGUCUCUGGGCAUUAACUGACGCUGAGGAGCGAAAGCAUGGGGAGCGAACAGG
This 254-nucleotide ribosomal RNA is filed under the name uncultured bacterium. RNAcentral describes it as "partial 16S ribosomal RNA". It matches the Rfam family "Bacterial small subunit ribosomal RNA", at positions 524 to 776 of the family's 1533-position model. The record is from RNAcentral.